RNAcentral lists this ribosomal RNA (271 nucleotides) under uncultured bacterium. Its description in RNAcentral is "partial 16S ribosomal RNA". It matches the Rfam family "Bacterial small subunit ribosomal RNA", at positions 83 to 354 of the family's 1533-position model. The record is from RNAcentral.
UUUUUUACUUCAGUGGCGGACGGGUGAGUAACGCGUGGGUAACCUGCCUUAUACAGGGGGAUAACACUUAGAAAUAGGUGCUAAGACCGCAUAAGCGCCCAGGGCCGCAUGGCCCAGGGUGAAAAACUCCGGUGGUAUAAGAUGGGCCCGCGUCUGAUUAGCCAGUUGGCAGGGUAACGGCCUACCAAAGCGACGAUCAGUAGCCGGCCUGAGAGGGUGGACGGCCACAUUGGGACUGAGACACGGCCCAAACUCCUACGGAAGGCAGCAG